UGAUUCAUAGCUUAGUUGGUAAAGAAUCUGCCUGCAAUGUAGGAGACCCAGGUUUGAUUCCUGGGUCAG
Ovis aries (sheep) is the source of this 69-nucleotide transfer RNA. It matches the Rfam family "tRNA". Rfam says of the family: Transfer RNA (tRNA) molecules are approximately 80 nucleotides in length. Their secondary structure includes four short double-helical elements and three loops (D, anti-codon, and T loops). Further hydrogen bonds mediate the characteristic L-shaped molecular structure. tRNAs have two regions of fundamental functional importance: the anti-codon, which is responsible for specific mRNA codon recognition, and the 3' end, to which the tRNAs corresponding amino acid is attached (by aminoacyl-tRNA synthetases). tRNAs cope with the degeneracy of the genetic code in two manners: having more than one tRNA (with a specific anti-codon) for a particular amino acid; and 'wobble' base-pairing, i.e. permitting non-standard base-pairing at the 3rd anti-codon position. The record is from Rfam. NCBI's taxonomy places the organism in Eukaryota, Metazoa, Chordata, Mammalia, Artiodactyla, Bovidae.